GAGAGUAGGGGUAGGCGGUUGCAGAGUAGCGAAAGCUAGUCUGAGGAAAGUCCGGGCUCCCGAAAGACCGAACUUGCUGGGUAACGCCCAGUGCGAGCGAUCGUGAGGAUAGUGCCACAGAAAGAUACCGCCAGAAUAGGGACUGGGGGCUAGGGACUGGGUGCUAGGGAAGAAAUUUCCCAAUACCCAAUACCCAAUACCCAAUCCCCUAUCUUUGGUAAGGGUGCAAAGGUGCGGUAAGAGCGCACCAGCAACGUCGAGAGGCGUUGGCUCGGUAAACCCCGGUUGGGAGCAAGGUGGAAGGAACUAUGGUUGGUCUUUUACCAGUUCCGUUAUUAGGUACCGCUAGAGGCAUCUGGUAACAGGUGUCCCAGAUAGAUAACUGCCCUCUUAGCUUGUAUAGUUAAGAGAACAGAACCCGGCUUAUGACUUGCUCUCUCCC
Molecule: RNase P RNA, 442 nt
Filed under: [Phormidium] sp. LEGE 05292
Lineage: Bacteria; Bacillati; Cyanobacteriota; Cyanophyceae; Aerosakkonematales; Aerosakkonemataceae
Description: RNase P RNA component class A
Rfam family: Bacterial RNase P class A
About the family: Ribonuclease P (RNase P) is a ubiquitous endoribonuclease, found in archaea, bacteria and eukarya as well as chloroplasts and mitochondria. Its best characterised activity is the generation of mature 5'-ends of tRNAs by cleaving the 5'-leader elements of precursor-tRNAs.
Source: RNAcentral